RNAcentral lists this microRNA precursor (110 nucleotides) under Marmota monax (woodchuck). Lineage: Eukaryota; Metazoa; Chordata; Mammalia; Rodentia; Sciuridae. The record is from RNAcentral.
GGUAAGAUUGCUGGAUCAUAUGGUAUUUGGUAUUUAUAUUUUUUAAUUUUUAAAGUAACCUACAAAAUAUUUUCCAAAGUGUCUGCACAUUUUACAUUUCCACCAACAGU